RNAcentral lists this ribosomal RNA (463 nucleotides) under uncultured bacterium. RNAcentral describes it as "partial 16S ribosomal RNA". It matches the Rfam family "Bacterial small subunit ribosomal RNA", at positions 339 to 795 of the family's 1533-position model. The record is from RNAcentral.
CUACGGGGUGCAGCAGUGGGGAAUAUUGCACAAUGGGCGCAAGCCUGAUGCAGCCAUGCCGCGUGUAUGAAGAAGGCCUUCGGGUUGUAAAGUACUUUCAGCGGGGAGGAAGGGAGUAAAGUUAAUACCUUUGCUCAUUGACGUUACCCGCAGAAGAAGCACCGGCUAACUCCGUGCCGGCAGCCGCGGUGAUACGGAGGGUGCAAGCGUUAAUCGGAAUUACUGGGCGUAAAGCGCACGCAGGCGGUUUGUUAAGUCAGAUGUGAAAUCCCCGGGCUCAACCUGGGAACUGCAUCUGAACUGGCAAGCUUGAGUCUCGUAGAGGGGGGUAGAAUUCCAGGUGUAGCGGUGAAAUGCGUAGAGAUCUGGAGGAAUACCGGUGGCGAAGGCGGCCCCCUGGACGAAGACUGACGCUCAGGUGCGAAAGCGUGGGGAGCAAACAGGAUUAGAUACCCGGGUAGUC